Long non-coding RNA from Populus trichocarpa (black cottonwood), 3188 nucleotides. RefSeq lists it as uncharacterized. The transcript is spliced from 3 exons. Lineage: Eukaryota; Viridiplantae; Streptophyta; Magnoliopsida; Malpighiales; Salicaceae. The record is from RefSeq and is a predicted model, not a curated record.
UCUAAUACUCCUCUCUCUCCCUUUCACCUGUAAUUUCCUUUUCACAAUAACUUCAGUCUUCAGCACUGUUUCUCUCAAAACUUUGAAUGGGUUUUUGUACAUUCUUUUUCAAGUGAUUAUUCAGUUAAUAACAGUCAGAUUGGUGUGAAGAACAGCAGUUCAUCAAAUUGUAUGGAAUUGGAAGGGUUAUUCGAUUCGCUAUCAGAAUGCUGGGAACAGUGGCCCUGCUCUAGUUUUAGCUCAUGGUUUUGGAGCAAACAGGACACUUCCUCUUUCUUCCUCUCCAGUUGUUGCUUGGAAACUGCCUUCUCUUGCCAACUUAUUCCAGCAACAAAUCCACCUCCCGCAAGGACUUCCAGCACCGACCUGCUGCUGGAAACCUCCUCCUGCUGCCGAUUCUUUGCUGCUGUUUCCUCUUGAUUUCUGCCGUAGCUUCUCCUGGCUGGUUCUCAUCAAACCCUCCCCUUCAGAGUAUGGAUGUGGGAUGCCAUUCUUGGUUCUCUCAAUGAAAGCAUCAAUGAUGGAAACUCAAGAAGAGAAAGAUAGGUUCAGAAAAGUUUCUCAAAGGUGUUUGAUAUUUUUCUUAUUGCUUAUUGCUUCUUCUUUUUUUUCUUGAUGAAAGCUAUUUAUAGCCUUACAUUAUAGCCUAACUAGAAUUCUGAUAAAAAGAAAAUUGCAACACUAAUAAAAAUAAUCCUAAUCUAAGCUAGAUAACUCCUUCAGAAUUCAGAAUUCCUUAAGUAGAGAGCCUAUUCCUGUCAGUUUCUGUUUCUGAUUUCAAAAUAAAUUCUUCCACAUCAUAGAAAUCCUUGGUUCUCAUCAGGUUGACUGAACAUUUAUAUGGAAUUGUUGCUAUGGUAACAGUUAAUGCUGGCUGGUACACCUUUUCAGAGGCUAAUAGGUGUCAGUAUUCUUUAUGUCUUGUACACAAUAUGGCAAUAAAACUGAAGUUAUGUUUCUGUUUGGUCUUGAAUGUGUUUCUCUAGCAUAUGAUGUAAGCAAAGAGGCUGAACUUAUUUUACCGUGUUAGUCUGUAAACAUUUAGCAUAGAUAUAGAAUAGGGAAUUUGAGGUCAAAAGAGUGUUUAUCAUGAAGUAACUGCCAGAGAGCUGCUACCUUCGAGAUUGAGAAACUGGAGUCAUAUUCUCAUACAAGGAGCCAAAUCUAGUGUAUUGUAAAUGUCUGAGCUAGAAAAAUAACUCCUUUUUAGCUAUUGCAGUCCUUUUCAUUCCAGAAUAGAGCUGCUAUAAACCAUGAUUCAGAACUCGUAUUAUAAAAGGAUUGUUUGCAAUUCUGCUUUAAUAGAGAUACGAGCUUCUAAGAUUAUCUUGAAAUCCGAAGGCUGCCAUAGGAAAGAAAGAAAUUUAACAGAAUAAUGCAUGUCUCGUGAUAUACUUGGUGAUGAUUUUGUAUUAGUUUUCUUCUCUAAUCUCUUUGUUUUUGAACUUAAUAUGUAUAGGUCAUGACUGACAACUCACUUCUUCCUUGCACUGACCAUUGGAAAAAAACUAUCCCAGUUCUUGCAAAAUCACAUAAGAGUAUAUUCAAUUGAUGUCAUUGGUUAUGGAUUCUCUCAUCAAAACCUUGCGAAUUUGGAGAUAAAUCCUUUUGUACAUUUGAGACAUGGGCUACUCAGCUAUAUGACUCCUGUGUCGAUGUAGUCAAAGAUGAGGCUUUCUUCCUAUGCAAUUCCAUAGGAGGUAAUCAUCUUUUUGAUGUUUUGGUUAUGUAGAUGAAUCCUUUGGUUUUUCCUUGUUAUUUUUAGCAAAUGUUUGCUGCUUAUUUUAGUUAUAUAUGCUUGUCUGUCAGUACUUUUAGAUGUCAUAGCAACACAGUUUUUAUUUGUCGAGAAUAAAUGUCUGAGCAAAAAUUAUAUGGACUGCCAUUUUAGUUAAAUACAGUGAGAUGAAUGCUUGGAAACUCAUGGUGAUCAUAAUUUUUGCAUCUUAGUUUUCCGGUCGUUAUGCAGAAGUUGUUGGUCUUCAGGCUUCAGUUAUAGACCCACAGAUCUGUGAAGGCAUUAUAUUGUUAAUUAUAUCUUUGCGUUUGCUACACAUUAAAAGGCAGCCAUGAUUUGGUAGGCCUUUUAUCAGAGUCUGCUGAGGUAAACAGAUAUGGUUUCUUUUGUUAGUCACGAAGUUUUAAACUUGCCAUCUUUAACUUUAGCUGUUUUUGCAGGAAUGCUGCUUUGGGAAAAAUUUGCUUCAACUCAGUUGCCACUCCAGAGUCUGUGAGAAACAUUCUGUGUCUGGUGUUGUUUGGUGGCAUGUUAAGUAUUUUCCUUUCAAAGAACGAUGUUUUUUUUCUUUUUUACUGGAUGUUGGCAGAGCCCUACAUGUGAUAUCCAAAGUAAGUUUCUCAUGGAGCUUCUUAACAAAUGGUGGAUACUUUUACCCUUGUGCUAGAAAAGAUAACCGUUUGAUUAUAUUUGUUGAUGAGCAUGAAGGAUUCAGCACCUCAUCUUGUGAACCCCUCGUGGAGUCAUUGGUAGCAUGUAUUGCAUCAUAGCAAGUGUUUCUACUGUUUGAUAGUAGACAUCUUCUGGGUUCUUUCUAUGGUUCUAUAAUUACUAGUCCAAUCUUCCUAACCGUGAAUCGCAAGUAAUUAUAAAAAUGUUGGGUUGACAUUCAAGAUGGCGUGCUGCGAUUUACCAAACAUCUUCUGGGUUCUUUCUAUGGUUCUAUAAUUACUAGUCCAAUCUUCCUAACCGUGAAUCGCAAGUAAUUAUACAAAUGUUGGGUUGACAUUCAAGAUGGCGUGCUGCGAUUUACCAAACCACCAACCCGAGUUUGACAUCGUGUUGUUGGUUCUUGUAAAAGUUCCUGUAGAACACUGUGGUGAUGCUCAUCAUUUUGACUCUCUGGAUCUUAAGGCUCUGAUGGCCCCUGACAGCAAUUCUUUGUCGGCUCCAUGCCCCUAAUCAAUCAAAGUGGCAAUCAUACAAAUUAGCAAAAAGAUUGGCACACAUGCCAUGUUCAAGGUAUACAAGAAGUUAAAAGAGCCGUAACAGUCACAUGCCGCAAUUGCCUAGCAGAGACAAAUUAGAGAACAUAGAAGCCAGCAUCUUAUUUUCUGGAACACAUGACCGACAUCAAAUCUGCUAACAGGAGGGAAGUGGAUUCUUGUUUAAAGUAAACAACCUUUUUUCUACCUUAUAUAUCGACAACAUUGAGGUUUGAUUUUGACAA